AUUGGCGGCGUGCUUAACACAUGCAAGUCGAGCGGAAAGGCCCCUUCGGGGGUACUCGAGCGGCGAACGGGUGAGUAACACGUGAGUAACCUGCCCCUGACUUCGGGAUAAGCCUGGGAAACCGGGUCUAAUACCGGAUAUGACUUUCUCGUGCAUGCGGGAGGGUGGAAAGUUUUUUCGGUUGGGGAUGGGCUCGCGGCCUAUCAGCUUGUUGGUGGGGUGAUGGCCUACCAAGGCUUCGACGGGUAACCGGCCUGAGAGGGCGACCGU
Molecule: ribosomal RNA, 270 nt
Filed under: Actinomadura pelletieri
Lineage: Bacteria; Bacillati; Actinomycetota; Actinomycetes; Streptosporangiales; Thermomonosporaceae
Description: partial 16S ribosomal RNA
Rfam family: Bacterial small subunit ribosomal RNA
Source: RNAcentral